CGUGGAACACGCUCUCCCUUCGGGGUCUGUGCACAGGUGCUGCAUGGCUGUCGUCAGCUCGUGUCGUGAGAUGUUGGGUUAAGUCCCGCAACGAGCGCAACCCUUGCCUCUAGUUGCUCGGCUGUAAUGGUCAGCACUCUAGAUGGGACUGCCGGUGAUAAACCGGAGGAAGGUGGGGAUGACGUCAAGUCAUCAUGGCCUUUAUGUCCAGGGCUACACACGUGCUACAAUGGACGGUACAAAGGGUCGCCAAACCGCAAGGUGGAGCCAAUCCCGAUAAAACCGCCCUCAGUUCGGAUUGCAGUCUGCAACUCGACUGCAUGAAGGUGGAAUCGCUAGUAAUCGCGGAUCAGCAUGCCGCGGUGAAUACGUUUCCGGGCCUUGUACACACCGCCCGUCACACCACGAAAGUGGAUUGUACCCGAAGUCGCCAGGCUAACCCGCGAGGGGAGCAGGUGCCCAAGGUAUGAUUCAUGAUUGGGGUGAAGUCGUAACAAGGUAACCGU
This 506-nucleotide ribosomal RNA is filed under the name uncultured delta proteobacterium. RNAcentral describes it as "bacterial SSU rRNA". It matches the Rfam family "Bacterial small subunit ribosomal RNA", at positions 999 to 1503 of the family's 1533-position model. Lineage: Bacteria; Deltaproteobacteria. The record is from RNAcentral.